GUACUGUACAAUACAGUCCCCUCUACUAACUGCCCUUGUUACCCGACCACCGCUAACCUUCUCCUUUAUGAACUGGCGCAGUGGGGGAGGGGCUAACCCAUGUUACAUCUUAGAAACAAGGCAGGUGUUAUCAAGAGUUUUUAUUGUUUUCACAGGGACUGUUUUCAGACUUGUAGUGUUUGAGAGUAGCUUGUGAAACACGAUGUUAUAUAAGCAAAGAUCAUGCAUAGAGAGUUUGGCUGCCUCUGUUGUUAAAUAUGGUCUGUGUUGAAAAUUGGCCAGAUUUAAUGGUGGUGUAGAUAUUUUUUUAAAUGUAGGAUGGAGGUCUUUAAAAUCAGACACCACUGUGGUCUUUUCUCUGUUAACAAGAACAUCGGGUUGGAGGGAUUCAGAAGCCCUCAGCAAAAAAUAUAAAGUUUUGUGUACAUUCAAGUGUAAGCGUGAAUUAUUUAACUAAUUAGAAACCUAAUUUUAAUAGUUUGUUUUUCCGCAUGCACACAUUGAACGGUGUCGUCAGCAUACAGUUGUAUGUUGACAAAUGGACAGGGUGUUAAUAUACAAGCUAAACAGAACUGGCCCAGCGUUGCCCCCUGGGGAACGGCGAUAUUACAGUUUUGUAGACUGAGUAUUGUAGGCCGAUACGUACACGUUGCUUCCUGUUUGAGCUCCUUGUGGUUCACUGUGUCACUUCCAAAAACUGCUUCACCACCUUCAUCUAAUGUGAUGUCAUGUACUUGUCAUCAGGCGGCGUACCCCGGUGUGGAGCAGCCGCCCCCCCACCACCCCCCUACUACCAUCACAGCCACCCCCCACCCCCACCUCACCAGGCCUACCAUCACCACCACCACCCCCCCUGCAGCCACAUGAGGCUCCGCCCCCUCGCUUCAGAGACAAGCAGCGAGCGCCGCAACACCGCGCCUUCACCUCCAGCCCGCACGACUACGACAUGCGUGUGGACGACUUCCUGCGGCGGACGCAGGCGGUGGUGAGCAGCCGGCGUGAGCGUGAGCGGCAGCGUGAACGUGACCGUGGCGGCCCCCGCCGCGAGAGAGAGAGAGAGAGAGUGAGGGACAGAGACAGGGAGAGAGAGAGGGACAAAGAGAGGGGGCGCUACCGCAGGUGAUCGUGUCAUAUCCUGUCCAGGCUUUUAUUUUGGCUGUUUCCUGUUUUUUGUUGAAAAUUAUGAAUAAAAAAUGAAACGAGCUACGUGAUGACAUCAUCAUCAGCUGCAUCAUCAGUUAUGUGAAUAAAAUAUUUAAAAAACUGUAAAAAUACAAAAUCUGGUGAGGUUUGAUCAAAACAUGAAAGGGAAGUGACAUCACUGCACAGGCUUCAUUUACAGUGUAAUGUCUCCUGAACCUUCACACUUCAUUUCCCAGAAUCCUCUCUGUGGAGCUUCAGUUUGAGUCAGGACAGGAAGCUGUGUUUCAGUAUUUUAGUGCAGAGCGCUCGCACAGCAACACUUUUAGUUUUUUCUCUAAUCAGUGCUUUUAUUGUGAAAGUUUCUCCUGUAAAUCCUUCAAAUUAAAUGUCUAAAAACUUCCUGACUUCAACAUUUUGUAGUUUUUUUUUUGUAGUUUUCUGUUGAGUGGAACCUCUGCUUCAGUAACUUAUUUCAUUAUAUAUCGUCACACGAACAUUCAAGUUGUUUGUACUCGUGAUCGCCGCCUACUGGUGACGACACGUAAGUUUUGUUUCAGAUCUUUUUCUUUUUUUUUUUUUUUGCAUCUUUCUGAUUGGUUGUUACCAUGGUGACCAAACGUCUAGGAGAUCAGUUUCAUUGUGUAUUGAUCAGCAGCAGGUUAAACUGAUCUGUGUUCAGUCUCAGUGUUAAAACAACAAAACUUUAUUCGUUUCCUGUUUCUGAACAGAGGGGGUGGAGCUUCUCUGUUUUUGUACAAAUAAAAAAUAAAAUCUGAAAUCAGA
Molecule: long non-coding RNA, 1926 nt
Organism: Micropterus salmoides (largemouth bass)
Lineage: Eukaryota; Metazoa; Chordata; Actinopteri; Centrarchiformes; Centrarchidae
Exons: 2
Source: RefSeq, a predicted model, not a curated record